GCCCUAGAAAAAAUCUAAGGUGCAACCUGCCCAGUGGCUUCUAAGUCAAAAUAAACAAAAUUAUUAAAAAAAGCUUAAAGGACGCGGUAACCUUGACCGUGAUAAUGUAGCAUAAUCACUCGCCACCUAAUUAGUGGAUAGUAUGAAUGGUUAAACGAAUGUUUCACUGUCUUAAAAAGAAACUUAUAAAAAUUAAAACAAUAGUUAAGAUGCUAUUUAAAAUUGUAAGACGAAAAGACCCUAUAGAGCUUAACUACAAUCUUUCUGAAUUAAAAAGAAAAACAAUUCAAAAAAAGAAAGACUGAUAGUUUAGUUGGGGCGACUAUCUUCUAAAAGAAACGAAGACAAGCAAAGUUAAUAAUAAACUUAUUGUAUAAUCAAUUUAUUUAACAAUUAUAAAUAUAGGCUAUAAUGACCCGUUAUCAACAAGUAACACAAAUAACGAUCAAUAAAUAAAAGCUACCUUAGGGAUAACAGGAUAAUUUCAUUCUAGAGACCCCAUCAAAAAUGAAGUUUGUCACCUCUAUGUUGAAUUAAGAUAUCCUGAUAAUGCAGAAGUUAUCAAAGGUAGGUCUGUUCGACCUUUAAAAUCUU
RNAcentral lists this ribosomal RNA (594 nucleotides) under Solenoscyphus decidualis. RNAcentral's name for it is "partial large subunit ribosomal RNA". It matches the Rfam family "Bacterial large subunit ribosomal RNA", at positions 1833 to 2597 of the family's 2925-position model. The record is from RNAcentral. Lineage: Eukaryota; Metazoa; Cnidaria; Hydrozoa; Leptothecata; Sertulariidae.